This 215-nucleotide ribosomal RNA is filed under the name uncultured bacterium. Its description in RNAcentral is "partial 16S ribosomal RNA". It matches the Rfam family "Bacterial small subunit ribosomal RNA", at positions 1287 to 1500 of the family's 1533-position model. The record is from RNAcentral.
CUCAGUUCGGAUCGGAGUCUGCAACCCGACUCCGUGAAGCUGGAUUCGCUAGUAAUCGCGCAUCAGCCAUGGCGCGGUGAAUACGUUCCCGGGCCUUGUACACACCGCCCGUCAAGCCAUGGGAGUCGGGAAUGCCCGAAGCCGGUGGCCCAAUCGAAAGAAGGGAGCCGUCGAAGGCAGGCCGGAUGACUGGGGUGAAGUCGUAACAAGGUACC